GGGAGAACUGUAGAGUUGGAGAUCUACGGCGGUCUGUAAAACCGUUGCAAUUGCUUUGAGUGUUCGAAUCACUCUUCUCCCA
This 82-nucleotide transfer RNA is filed under the name Caudoviricetes sp. RNAcentral describes it as "tRNA-Tyr". It matches the Rfam family "tRNA". Rfam says of the family: Transfer RNA (tRNA) molecules are approximately 80 nucleotides in length. Their secondary structure includes four short double-helical elements and three loops (D, anti-codon, and T loops). Further hydrogen bonds mediate the characteristic L-shaped molecular structure. tRNAs have two regions of fundamental functional importance: the anti-codon, which is responsible for specific mRNA codon recognition, and the 3' end, to which the tRNAs corresponding amino acid is attached (by aminoacyl-tRNA synthetases). tRNAs cope with the degeneracy of the genetic code in two manners: having more than one tRNA (with a specific anti-codon) for a particular amino acid; and 'wobble' base-pairing, i.e. permitting non-standard base-pairing at the 3rd anti-codon position. The record is from RNAcentral. Lineage: Duplodnaviria; Heunggongvirae; Uroviricota; Caudoviricetes.